AUGAACGCUGGCGGCGUGCCUCAUCCAUGCAAGUCGCGCGAACGGACGAGAAGCUUGCUUCUCUGAUGUUAGCGGCGGACGGGUGAGUAACACGUGGAUAACCUACCUAUAAGACUGGGAUAACUUCGGGAAACCGGAGCUAAUACCGGAUAAUAUUUUGAACCGCAUGGUUCAAAAGUGAAAGACGGUCUUGCUGUCACUUAUAGAUGGAUCCGCGCUGCAUUAGCUAGUUGGUAAGGUAACGGCUUACCAAGGCAACGAUGCAUAGCCGACCUGAGAGGGUGAUCGGCCACACUGGAACUGAGACACGGUCCAGACUCCUACGGGAGGCAGCAGUAGGGAAUCUUCCGCAAUGGGCGAAAGCCUGACGGAGCAACGCCGCGUGAGUGAUGAAGGUCUUCGGAUCGUAAAACUCUGUUAUUAGGGAAGAACAUAUGUGUAAGUAACUGUGCACAUCUUGACGGUACCUAAUCAGAAAGCCACGGCUAACUACGUG
Molecule: ribosomal RNA, 496 nt
Filed under: uncultured bacterium
Lineage: Bacteria
Description: partial 16S ribosomal RNA
Rfam family: Bacterial small subunit ribosomal RNA
Source: RNAcentral